Small nucleolar RNA from Bison bison bison, 91 nucleotides. Its record names the gene SNORD116. It matches the Rfam family "Small nucleolar RNA SNORD116". Rfam says of the family: HBII-85 is a member of the C/D class of snoRNAs, which contain the C (UGAUGA) and D (CUGA) box motifs. HBII-85 is encoded in a tandemly repeated array with another C/D snoRNA, HBII-52, in the Prader-Willi syndrome (PWS) region of chromosome 15. Lineage: Eukaryota; Metazoa; Chordata; Mammalia; Artiodactyla; Bovidae. The record is from Ensembl.
GGAUCGAUGAUGACUCCCACAAAUGCAUUCCUUGGAAAUCUGAACAAAUGAGUGAGCCAUCACUACCGUCUCCUCAUCGGAACUGAGGUCC